UCUUCUUUGCUUUCUGGCCGCCAUGAGGUAAGCAGCUACCUUAGUUUCAUCCUCCUGCCGUGAUGUGCUAUUUGGCCCAAAAGCAGUGUGGCCAACCAGCCAUGGACUGAAAUCUCUAAAACUGUGAGCAAGAAUAAACCUUUCCUCCUUUAAGUUGAUUAUCUCAGGUAUUUUGUCACAGUAACAAAGCCAACCAACACCCAACAUUGGUACCAAGAAGUGGGAGUUGAUAUGACUAAACCUGAGAAUAACGGAGGAAUCUUUGGAUUUGGUUUGUGGGGAGUUUGGAGAAGCAGGUUAGAGAAAGCCUAGGAUGCUGUAUGCAGAACUCAAAGGCCAAUUCUGGUGAGGAUUAAGACCAGAAUGCUGAUUAGUAAAGUUUCUCAGGAGGUUGCAGGUGAAAAUAAGGACUCUACAGGGAAUUGGACAGGCCAUACCUUUUUACACCAUGGUAAAGAAUUUGACUACAUUUUAACCAUCCCUGAGACUUGGUGGGAAGCUGAACUUAAAGGUGAUGGACCAGUUUACCUGGUGAAGGAAAUUUCAAGGCAGCUCAACAUUCAGAUAGCAGUUCAGGUUUUAUUGCUUCCUUUUUAGCUAAAUUUACUGUGAAAAUCAGAAGUGAAGAGGGAAAAUUUGGAAAACUUGAGUUUGGCUCUCCAAAAAAGAAACAUGUUUCAAGGUGCUGCCAAGGAGGGUGCAGUUGCCAAAGAGAUCUGCGUCAUUGAAAAGAAGCCAUGUGAGAGCUGGGCAUGGUGGCACAUGCCUGCAAUCCUAGUAACUUGGGAAGCCAAGGCAGGAAGAUCACAAGUUUAAGGCCAGCCUCAGCAAAUUAGCAAAACCCUGUUUCAAAAAAAAAAAAAAAAGGUCUGGGAUGUAGUUCAGUGGUAAAGUGUCCAUGAAUUCUAUUCCCAUUACCAAAAACUACAACAACAAAACUAGGCAGUGACACUUAAUUCCAGGCUUCAUCAGAGAUGAAGCAACCCUGGCUGCUGUCUGCAUAGUGAAGUUCAUAGUAGCUACAAAUCCAUCUGAGUGGGUGCCAGGGAAGCCAUCCAUGGAGAGAUGUCACACCAGUGGCAAUCUGGGAAGUCAUUGAAGGGAGUGUAGGGUAGUGACAGGAACAUUGAGAGGUGAUAAAUGGAAAAGGGUCACAGUCCAUCCCUUUGGUUAUUAAGCUUCCAUAUGUGCCCUUCUGCACAUUUCAAAACUUUGCAACAAUGAGAUAGUCCGACAUUUCUUCCUGACUUAUAUUUUCUUACAAAUCAACUUCACUCCCCUUUCUCAAAAUAAGAAGAUGCCCAGUACUGACAAUCAUUUUCAUUGUUGGUUACAUUAAUGACUCCUCCAAUUCUGUCACUGUUUCAUCAAAUAUUCUGUAACCUAAAAUCUAAAUUGUAAAUUUAAUCUCCCAAAACUUGUAUAUAAAAUUAAAAUGAAAGAAGAAAAUGAAAAUGG
This 1458-nucleotide long non-coding RNA is filed under the name Marmota monax (woodchuck). The record is from RNAcentral. Lineage: Eukaryota; Metazoa; Chordata; Mammalia; Rodentia; Sciuridae.